CCUUCCAUGAAGUCGGAAUUGCUAGUAAUGGCAGGUCAGCAUACUGCCGUGAAUACGUUCCCGGGCCUUGUACACACCGCCCGUCACACCAUGAGAGUUGGGAAUACCCGAAGCCUGUGAGCCAACAAACGAGGCAGCAGUCGAAGGUAGAAUCAAUGAUUGGGGUGAAGUCGUAACAAGGUACC
This 185-nucleotide ribosomal RNA is filed under the name uncultured bacterium. Its description in RNAcentral is "partial 16S ribosomal RNA". It matches the Rfam family "Bacterial small subunit ribosomal RNA", at positions 1314 to 1500 of the family's 1533-position model. The record is from RNAcentral.